AUUUAUAUUACCAUGCCUUUCUUACUGGGCCAGCAAAUAGACGUAUGUUUUUGGUUACUGAGGAAACAUUCUCUGUAUACUUCAAGGCUGCAUGUACCUUAUUUAACAUUAACACAUGAUGAAUAUACCCUCUCUGUCGUCCUCAGCUCUUCUUGUUCACUGACGGUGAGGUGGGGAACACCAAGGAAGUCCUGGAUCUGGUGAAGGCAAAUGCCGGCUCUCACAGGUGCUUCUCCUUUGGGAUUGGAGAGGGGGCCAGCAGGGCGGAAGGCACGCACAGUUUAUCACAGGACAGGACAGGAUGCAGCCCAAAGUAAGAGAGCUUGUGUGUGUACAGUCGUGGCCCAAAGUUUUGAGAAUGACACAAAUAUUAAUUUUCACAAAGUCUGCUGCCUCAGUUUGUGUGAUGACAAUUUACAUAUACUCCAGAAUGUUAUGAAGAGUGAUCAGAUGAAUUGCAAUUCAUUGUAAAGUCCCUCUUCAGCAGUAAAAUAAAGGUCCAAUUAUUUUUUUUUAAAUAACAUUCUCUCGUUAACACAGGUGUGAGUGUUGACGAGGACAGGGCUGGAGAUCACUGUCAUGCUGAUUGAGUUUGAAUAACAGACUGGAAGCUUCAAAAGGAGGGUGGUGCUUGGAAUCAUUGUUCUUCCUCUGUCAAUCAUGGCUACCUGCAAGGAAACACGUGCCGUCAUCAUUGCUUGGCACAAAAAGGGCUUCACAGGCAAGGAUAUUGCUGCCAGUAAGAUUGCACCUAAAUCAACCAUUUAUCGGAUCACCAAGAACUUCAAGGUGAGCGGUUAAAUUGUUGUGAAGAAGGCUUCAGGGCGCCCAAGAAAGUCCAGCAAGCACCAGGACCGUCUCCUAAAGUUGAUUCAGCUGCGGGAUUGGGGCACCACCAGUACAGAGCUUUCUCAGGAAUGGCAGCAGGCAGGUGUGAGUGCAUCUGCACGCACAAUGAGUUGAAGACUUUUGAAGGAUGGCCUGGUGUCAAGAAGGGCAGAAAAGAAACCACUUCUCUCCAGGAAAAACAUCAGGGACAGACUGAUAUUCUGCAAAAGGUACAGGGAUUAGACUGCUGAGGACUGCGGUAAAGUACUUUUCUCUAAUGAAUCCCCUUUCCGAUUGUUUGGGGCAUCUGGAAAAAAGCUUGCCUGGAGAAGACAAGGUGAGCGCUACCAUCAGUCCUGUGUCAUGCCAACAGUAAAGCAUCCUGAGACCAUUCAUGUGUGGGGUUGCUUCUCAGCCAAGGGAGUGUGCUCACUCACAAUUUUGCCUAAGAACACAGCCAUGAAUAAAGAAUGGUACCAACACAUCCUCCGAGAGCACCUUGCCAUAAGGCAAAAGUGAUAACUUUGUGGCUCGGGGAACAAAACAUUGAUAUUUUGGAUUCAUGGCCAGGAAACUCCCCAGACCUUAAUCCCAUUGAGAACUUGUGGUCAAUCCUCAAGAGGUGGGUGGACAAACAAAAACCCACAAAUUCUGACAAACUUGAUUAUGCAAGAAGUUAAUUGACAUGCUAGGGUAGGAUUGCAGAGGUCUUGAAAAAGAAGGGUCAACAACUGCAAAUAUUGACUCUUUGAAUCAACUUCAUGUAAUUGUCAAUAAAAGCCUUUGACACUUAUGAAAUGCAUGUAAUUAUCAUUCAGUAUUCCAUAGUAACAUCAGACAAAAAUAUCUAAAGACACUGAGGCAGCAGACUUUGUGAAAAUGUAUAUUUGUGUCAUUCUCAAAACUUUUGGCCACCUUAUUUGCAAUUUAAAA
This is a long non-coding RNA of Oncorhynchus kisutch (coho salmon), 1761 nucleotides long. The record is from Ensembl. NCBI's taxonomy places the organism in Eukaryota, Metazoa, Chordata, Actinopteri, Salmoniformes, Salmonidae.